This 99-nucleotide transfer RNA is filed under the name Streptomyces althioticus. RNAcentral describes it as "tRNA-Ser". Lineage: Bacteria; Bacillati; Actinomycetota; Actinomycetes; Kitasatosporales; Streptomycetaceae. The record is from RNAcentral.
AGGGCGGAUGCGGCGCGCGGCGCUGUCCGGUGCGGCCGUGACGGCCGCACCGGCGGUCGCGGCCGUGGCCGCCUUCGGGUACGAGGCCGGUCUGCCGUG